UUGAUAGAAACCAAAAUAGAGGUGUAUCACUGUUAAUGAUAUAAUUGAAUUAUAAAUUUCCUGUCAAG
This 68-nucleotide transfer RNA is filed under the name Austruca lactea. Its description in RNAcentral is "tRNA-Asn". Lineage: Eukaryota; Metazoa; Arthropoda; Malacostraca; Decapoda; Ocypodidae. The record is from RNAcentral.